GACGAACGCUGGCGGCGUGCUUAACACAUGCAAGUCGAACGGAAAGGCCCUGCUUUUGUGGGGUGCUCGAGUGGCGAACGGGUGAGUAACACGUGAGUAACCUGCCCUUGACUUUGGGAUAACUUCAGGAAACUGGGGCUAAUACCGGAUAGGAGCUCCUGCUGCAUGGUGGGGGUUGGAAAGUUUCGGCGGUUGGGGAUGGACUCGCGGCUUAUCAGCUUGUUGGUGGGGUAGUGGAUUACCAAGGCUUUGACGGGUGGCCGGCCUGAGCGGGUGACCGGCCACAUUGGGACUGAGAUACGGCCCAGACUCCUACGGGAGGCAGCAGUGGGGAAGAUUGCACAAUGGGCGGAAGCCUGAUGCAGCAACGCCGCGUGCGGGAUGACGGCCUUCGGGUUGUAAUCCGCUUUCGCCUGUGACGAAGCGUGAGUGACGGUAAUGGGUAAAGAAGCACCGGCUAACUACGUG
Molecule: ribosomal RNA, 468 nt
Filed under: uncultured bacterium
Lineage: Bacteria
Description: partial 16S ribosomal RNA
Rfam family: Bacterial small subunit ribosomal RNA
Source: RNAcentral